CCUACGGGUGGCAGCAGUGGGGAAUAUUGCACAAUGGGGGAAACCCUGAUGCAGCGACGCCGCGUGAGUGAAGAAGCGCCUCGGCGCGUAAAGCUCUGUCAGCAGGAACGACGAUGACGGUACCUGAAGAAGAAGCCCCGGCUAACUACGUGCCAGCAGCCGCGGUAAUACGUAGGGGGCAAGCGUUAUCCGGAUUUACUGGGUGUAAAGGGCGCGUAGGCGGGAUGGCAAGUCAGAUGUGAAAUCCAGGGGCUCAACCCCUGAACUGCAUUUGAAACUGUCGUUCUUGAGUACUGGAGAGGUUGACGGAAUUCCUAGUGUAGCGGUGAAAUGCGUAGAUAUUAGGAGGAACACCAGUGGCGAAGGCGGUCAACUGGACAGCAACUGACGCUGAGGCGCGAAAGCGUGGGGAGCAAACAGGAUUAGAUACCCCAGUAGUC
This 440-nucleotide ribosomal RNA is filed under the name uncultured bacterium. Its description in RNAcentral is "partial 16S ribosomal RNA". It matches the Rfam family "Bacterial small subunit ribosomal RNA", at positions 338 to 795 of the family's 1533-position model. The record is from RNAcentral.